GUCGCCACCUAGCGGUUUCUGCGCGUGCCCACGCACCGGCCGGCGGCGGAAGACGCCUGCGGGGCGGGUGCGGGAGCGCCUCCUGGUGGACAACGCAGGGGCCAGCACAGAGGCUGACAGCCAUUGUUUCAACCUCCAUGAGCUGAACCUCCAGGAAGCAGCUUCCUGGGGAUUUAAAGAGACAAUACUUGUGCUCCCACCCCCAUGUCUUUUGGGAACCAGACAUUUAAGGAAAUCUUUGUCGGGUCACUGGUUGAUUACAGAAAUGAUGGAACAGAAACUUUAGUGACCACAAACAACAAUAUAUAUCUUGCAAAAAUAGUUUUAAAAAGUCAUAAAUAGAUGACCCAGUCCUCAUAAAGUACAAGAAAUCUCUGAGGUAUUGAAGAAUUAGAUAUCCAGUUAGUGCAACAUGGUAUUUAAAAUUUCUAGCUCUCAACAAACAAUUACAAAACAUACAAAAAAAGAGGAAAACAUGGUCCAUUCACAGAAAAAAAGAAGUUUACAGAAAUCUUUUCUAAGAAAGACCAGACAUUGGAAUUAUUAGUCAAUGGCAUUAAGUCAACUGCCUUAAAUAUGUUUAAUGAGAUAAGGAAAACCAUAAACCAAGAACUAAAAGGAAUCAGUAGAAUUAUAUAUGAACAAAGAAAGAAUAUCAAUUAAUAAAUAGAAAUAAAAAAGAACUAAACUGAAAUUCUGGAGGUGAAAACUGUAAUAACUGAAAUGAAAAAUUAACUAGAGGCAUUCAACAGCAGGUUUGAGCAAGUGGAAAAAAGUGUCUAUGAACUUGAAGACGGGGCAAUUGAAAUUAUCCAGUCUGGGGAGCACAAAGACAAAAGAAUAAGUAAAAGUGAACAGAGGCUAAGGGCCCUGUAGGACACCAUCAAGUGAAUCAAAUUUACAAUAUGAGAGUUUCAGAAAGAGUAGAGAGAGUUGGGAAAGAAAGAACAUCUGACGAAAUAAUGACUGGCAAAUGUCCCAAAUUCGAUGAAAGAAAUGAAUCUACAGAUCCGAGAAACUCAACAAACCUCCAAGGAUAAACUCAACAAACUCCUAGGAUAAACUCAAAGAGCUUCACCCCAAGACAUAUUAUAAUCAAAGUGUCAAAAGUCAGAGACAAAGAGAAUCUUGAAAACAGAAAAAGAGAAAUGAUUAGUCACACACAAGGACUCCUCAAUAAGAUUAAGAGCUGCUUUCUCAUCAGAAACCAUGGAGACCAGCAGGCAGUGGAAUGAAAAAGUGCUGAAAGAAAAAACUCAAGGAAGAAUUCUCUCUCUGGCAAAACUAUCUUUCAAAAAUGAAGGAUAAAUUAAGACAUUCACAGAUAAAAUCUGAGAACAUUCACUGCCAGUAGACCUGCUCUCACAAGAAAUGCUAAUGGGAGUCCUUGGGGGCUGAAAUGAGAGGACACUGGACAGCAAAUUGAAGCCAUAUGAAGAAAUAAAGAUCUCUAGUAAAGAUAACUGCAUAGAUUAAUAUAAAAACAGUAUUGUUGCAUUUUUGGUUUGUAACUAUUUCCUAUGCAGUUCAAAAGACAAAUACAUGAAAAGUAAUUAUAAAUCUUUUAACAGGCAUACAUGUAAAAUGUGUAAUUUAUGGCCAGGCACAGUGGCUCAUGCCUGUAAUCCCAGCCCUUUGGGAGGCCAAGGUUGAGCGACCACUUGAAGCCAAGAAUUCAAGAUCAGCCUGUGCAAUGUAGAGAGACCCCAUAUCUAAAAAAAAAAAAAAAAUUAAAUUAAAAAAAAAUAGCCAGGCAUAGUGGCACAUGCCUGUAGUCUCAGCUACUCAGGAGGCUGAGGUGUGAGGAUUGCUUGAGCCCAGGAGUUUGAGGGUGCAGUGAUCUAUGAUCACACCACUGCACUCCAGCCUGGGUGAACAGGCAAGACCCUGUCUCAAGGGAAAAAAAGAUAUUAAUUGUGAUAACAGCAACAUAAAGGUAGGAGGGGAUGAACCGUAUAGGAGCAGAAUUUUUGUGUGCUGUUGAAGCUAAGUUGGUAUUAAUUCAAACUAGACUGUUAUAAAUUUAGGAUGCUACAGUGGACAGAAUGUUUAUUUUUUUUUUUUGUAGAGACAAGGUCUUAUUAUGUUGCUUAGGCUGGUCUCAAACCCCUGACCUCAAGCAAUCCUCCCACCUCAGCCUCCUAAAGUGUUAGGAUUACAGAUGUGCGCCACCAGGCCUGGCUUGAAGUUAUUUUUAUCAAGAUCAAUUUUUUAUGUAAAUGACUUGAUAUUUUGGGGAUCCACAUCAUAAUUUACUGACUGUAGAUUCUGCUAUUGUAAGCUUUCUUUAGGGAUUAUUAUUCCUACCAAGUCAAUUUUCCUUGGUCAAAUUAUGCAUAUCAAAAUGUUAAAUAUACUUUUCUUCCAUCAAUUUUCAGUCAAUGAUAAAUUUUACCACGUGCAGUUUUAACCAUUAUCAGUUUUUGCUAUAGACUGUUUGUGUCCCCCCAGAUUCCUGUUUUGAAACCUGUCCCCCAGUAUGAUGGUAUUUGGAGGUUUGACCUUUGGGAGGUGAUAAGGUUGUGAGGGUAGAGCCCUCAUGAAUGGCAUCAGUGCCCUUACAAAACAAGCCACAGAGAGCUCCCUUUCUGCCUUCUGCCAUCUGAGGACACAGUGAGAAGACAGCUAUCUGUGAACCAGGGGGUUGGCCCUCACCAGAUACCAAAUCUUCUGGGACUUUGAGCUAGGACAUCCCAGCUUCCAGAACUGUGAG
This 2713-nucleotide long non-coding RNA is filed under the name Homo sapiens (human). RNAcentral describes it as "non-protein coding lnc-TSTD2-3:1". The record is from RNAcentral. Lineage: Eukaryota; Metazoa; Chordata; Mammalia; Primates; Hominidae.